Long non-coding RNA from Corticium candelabrum, 2078 nucleotides. RefSeq lists it as uncharacterized. NCBI's taxonomy places the organism in Eukaryota, Metazoa, Porifera, Homoscleromorpha, Homosclerophorida, Plakinidae. The record is from RefSeq and is a predicted model, not a curated record. The transcript has 5 exons.
UCCGUCCUUGUUGUUGCAACCGAACGCAAUACAGUAAACCAUUCUUUGUAAUGUAAUGGACAACUCACAAGUCAACGGCAGUAGAUUAGCUGCAAUAUUACUUCUACGUAGUGAAAUUAUAGUCUCUACUCGCACAUUACAACAUGCCCUAUUCAGUCAGCGUGACCGUAUCAGGUCGUUUUCAGUCACGGCAUUUGUUCCGCCCAGUCAACCUUGUACCCGUAUGGCCUGAGGUAAUAGUAAAUGACAUUACCACGCAUCGUAGACGGCUCACACCCAAGGACGCUCUUAGUGAGCAUCCAAGAUACUGUGUUAUUAGAUGCUACAUCCUUUCAAAUUCUGACUGAUCCUCGAUAUAUCCUCGCUAAACAGAGCAACAUACGCGAGUAAGAUAUUGUUACGUCAUCAUUUCAAAAUGGCGACUGCCAUAAGGUUACGCCCCAUGUUCGAAGCUCAAUUUCUCCGUUCAGAAAGAGUUGUAUUAAGAAAGAAAGGUUUGACACAAUUGACGCCUGUACAUGUAAGGAGCAAAAAAAGGAAAACCUUGUCAUUGAAAGAAUGCAGCUGCAGGGGAAGAGACCAGCGCAUAAAGGUUCUGCAAGAAUUGACAUGUAAUGACUUUGUUGAGGACACAUGCACAGAAAAUUACUCUCACUGAGAAGAGCCAAGCCAAAGCAUUUUGCAGAGGAGAGUAAUAUUAGAGACACAUGAUAAUGACACUUACAAGUAUUAGAUAAUAUUUUAGUUAUAACUGAUUAAUAAUUAAUUAUAACUAAUUAUUAAUUAAUUAAUAGCUGAUUAUUUGUAAUAGCUGCACUACGUAUAGUAAAAACCACGUUACCAUUGUGUUUUAGCCAGCCUAUGUUCAUUCACUGUGCUUACAGGACCGCGUUAAAUCUACUUAUCAAUCAGAUAUGUGAUUAUAGGACUGCGUCUGACCUUCUCUUGAAUCAUAUAGGGUGUGAUUAUAAGACUGCCUCUGACCUUCUCCUGAAUCAUAUAGGGUGUGAUUAUAGGAUCUGUUUCAUGCAUAUCUCAUGGGUGUGAUUUCUAAGAACCCAAGAAUUCAAUCAGAAAUCUAGUACAUGAUUACAUAUACUGUUUUACCUGUGUGGUGAUUGGUUGCCGAUUGCUUUGUCAAAGUUAUUUAGAUAUCAAGAGAGCAAAUAGAAGAGCCUCGUAAACUGCUGCUGAAGUUUUAUCAAAUUUAUGAACUUUUAUAUGGCACGAAAGCAGUGAAAGUACACCUUCUGCAGCGUUUGCCGGAUGUUGUAGAGAAGUGGGGUGCUUUGUGGGGUCAUUCCUGCUUUUGGUAUGAAUCCCUAAAUGGAUUUCUUAAAAGGUUUGUACACGGCACACGAUUUGUUUGCAGCCAGGUUGCAUCAAUUGUUAUGAUCAUUAAGACCAUUUCAGAUGUGCUACCAUCACCGACUGACCAGCUAUUAGCACCACCUGUAGUUCGUUUGGCUACAAAAUUUGGACUGAUGUGGUCACCUUUCGAAGUGAAAGAUUGUGUGAAAGUUUUUUGUCUACCGGAUCUGUUUGUUGACCCAAUCAAUGUUGUUUUGAGGAGGCUUGGCAACGAGAAACUUUGUUGUGGUUCGCCUGUCAAAACUGUUGGGAGACUGAAACUAGCUGGUCAUGUGAUACAAUCAAAGAAAAGUCACGUGACAAAGAAAAAUUCUUAUAAUGUCGAAUUUACCGAAUGUCAUGAAGAACAGCCGUUGUUUGGUUAUGUAUUACUCUUUAUCAUUUUUGGAUGUGAACGGUUUUCUGUCAUUCAACGGCUUAAUUAAAAUGGAGAAGUGGCCAUUAUUGCAUAAUGACGAUGACUGCAUGACUGAUGUUGUUGAUGCUUAGAGUAAUCUUCGGGAGCCGAUCGGAAAGCAUUUAAUUCCUUCUCAAGAGACUCGGGACUUGGUAGCAAUUCCUGUAGGAGACAUAACAGCUCAAGUAGUCUGUAUGAAAAUGUUAGGUUUAAGCUGUAUUUUUUUGUGUCUCGAUUUCUUAACAUUAUCGAGUGUGAUCGAGUUGUGAAAUACUCAAGAAAUGGUCUCGAGCCGAUUGUGUGUGCACAU